CGUGCAAAACGGGGUCAAUGCCCCGCCUACGCGGUAUUUACCCGCAACCCCUAUCUACGCAACGUUUAUUGACCUUUAGCAUCAGUCAGACGUUUUAUUUGCAAAACAUUGCAAUCUUUUAACAAUACAGGAUUUUUUAUACAUUUUUUGUGGUAUGUUAUGAGUAAUCAUCAGUACUAUCACCUAUCUUCAUUUUUUGCAAGCGUUCUAAUAACAUCCUGUAGAUAUUAGGUAUCAUGAAAAAAA
Molecule: long non-coding RNA, 246 nt
Organism: Maniola jurtina (meadow brown)
Lineage: Eukaryota; Metazoa; Arthropoda; Insecta; Lepidoptera; Nymphalidae
Exons: 3
Source: RefSeq, a predicted model, not a curated record